GUAGGUGGCAAGCGUUGUCCGGAAUUAUUGGGCGUAAAGCGCGCGCAGGUGGUUCUUUAAGUCUGAUGUGAAAGCCCCCGGGCUCAACCGGGGAGGGUCAUUGGAAACUGGGGAACUUGAGUGCAGGAGAGGAAAGUGGAAUUCCACGUGUAGCGGUGAAAUGCGUAGAUAUGUGGAGGAACACCAGUGGCGAAGGCGACUUUCUGGCCUGUAACUGACACUGAGGCGCGAAAGCGUGGGGAGCAAACAGGAUUAGAUACCCUGGUAGUCCACGCCGUAAACGAUGAGUGCUAAGUGUUGGGUGGUUUCCGCCCCUCAGUGCUGCAGCUAACGCAUUAAGCACUCCGCCUGGGGAGUACGGUCGCAAGACUG
Molecule: ribosomal RNA, 372 nt
Filed under: uncultured organism
Description: partial 16S ribosomal RNA
Rfam family: Bacterial small subunit ribosomal RNA
Source: RNAcentral